AAAUAACCUUUGAUCCGAAGAUUUCCGAAUGGGACAACCCGGCAUUCUGAAGGAAUGUCAUCCAUCCUAGAUGGAAGCUAACGCAGGGAACUGAAACAUCUUAGUACCUGUAGGAAAAGAAAAUAAUAAUGAUUCCCCUAGUAGUGGCGAGCGAACGGGGAUUAGCCCAAACCAAUGUUGUUACGGCAAUAUUGGGGUUGUAGGACCACGAUGUCGCAAGAAAUUUAGUGAGAAGAACCCUUUGGAAAAUGGGACCAUAGACGGUGAUAGUCCGGUAUUCGAAGCUAAAUGAAGCGUAGUGGUAUCCUGAGUAGCGCGGGACACGAGGAAUCUUGCGUGAAUCUGCCGGGACCAUCCGGUAAGGCUAAAUACUCCCGAGAGACCGAUAGCGAACCAGUACUGUGAAGGAAAGGUGAAAAGCACUUCGAAUAGAAGAGUGAAAUAGUCCCUGAAACCGUGCGCCUACAAGCGGUCGGAGCUGCUUCAGCAGUGACGGCGUGCCUUUUGCAUAAUGAACCUACGAGUUACUUUUUCCGGCAAGGUUAAGGAUCUUGAGAUCCGCAGCCGAAGCGAAAGCGAGUCUUAACAGGGCGAUUAGUCGGAAGGAGUAGACGCGAAACCAAGUGAUCUACCCUUGGUCAGGUUGAAGGUUAGGUAACACUAACUGGAGGACCGAACCGAUAAGCGUUGAAAAGCUUCCGGAUGAACUGAGGGUGGGGGUGAAAGGCUAAUCAAACUUGGAGAUAGCUCGUACUCCCCGAAAUGCAUUUAGGUGCAGCCUUGGGAAUUACUACUGUGAGGUAGAGCGACUGAUAAGAUGCGAGGGCUUCACCGCCUAUCAAGUCUUGAUAAACUCCGAAUGCGCAGUAGUUCGAUCCCAGGAGUGAGGGCAUGGGUGCUAAGGUCCAUGUCCUAAAGGAGAAGAAUCCAGACCAUCAGCUAAGGUCCCGAAAUAAUUGCUAAGUUGAACUAACGAAGUCAGAUUGCUAAGACAGCUAGGAUGUUGGCUUGGAAGCAGCCAUUCAUUUAAAGAGUGCGUAACAGCUCACUAGUCGAGGAGUUUGGCGUGGAUAAUAAUCGGGCAUUAAGCAAUUUACCGAAGCUAUGGGAUCCGUAAGGAUCGGUAGGGGAGCAUUCCACUCUGCGUCGAAGGUGAAGCGUGAGCUUUGCUGGAGCGUGUGGAAAAGCAAAUGUAGGUAUAAGUAACGAUAAAGGGGGUGAGAAACCCCCUCGCCGAAAGACUAAGGUUUCCUGAUCAACGCUAAUCGGAUCAGGGUUAGUCGGGUCCUAAGGCUCAGCCGAACGGUGAGGCCGAUGGCAGAACAGGUUAAUAUUCCUGUACUACCUUAAGGAGUGACGUGGAGACGGAGGAGUGACAGCGCCGCGGACUGACGGAAUAGUCCGUUGAAGGGUGUAGAUGUUGAUUAUCCCAGGCAAAUCCAGGAUAAGAGUCGAACCUGAUAGUAUACCAAAUUCUUCGGAAUAAGGUAAUAGUGCGUGUAAGCAUACUCCCAAGAAAAUCCGCUAAACUUAAUCUUUAAGGUACCCGUACCGCAAACGGACACACGUAGUCGGGUUGAAUAUACUAAGGCGCUUGAGUGAUUCACGGUUAAGGAACUAGGCAAAUUGACCCUGUAACUUCGGGAUAAAGGGUCCCAACGAGAGUUGGGCGCAGAGAAUAGGUCCAGGCAACUGUUUAACAAAAACACAGGGCUGUGCCAAAUUGAAAGAUUACGUAUACAGCCUGACACCUGCCCGGUGCUGGAAGGUUAAGAGGAGAUGUCAUCGCAAGAGAAGCAUUGAAUUGAAGCCCCAGUAAACGGCGGCCGUAACUAUAACGGUCCUAAGGUAGCGAAAUUCCUUGUCGGGUAAGUUCCGACCUGCACGAAUGGUGUAAUGAUCUGGACACUGUCUCAACCGUGAGCUCAGUGAAAUUGUAGUAUCGGUGAAGAUGCCGAUUACCCGCGAUGGGACGAAAAGACCCCGUGAACCUUUACUAUAGCUUAACAUUGAAUUUGGGUAAUUGAUGUGUAGGAUAGGCCGGAGACUUUGAAGCAGGUACGCCAGUAUUUGUGGAGUCGCUGUUGAAAUACGGCCCUUUGAUUAUUUGAGUUCUAACUCGUUGUUGCGAGGACACUGUUUGGUGGGUAGUUUGACUGGGGUGGUCGCCUCCAAAAGUGUAACGGAGGCUUCUAAAGGUGCCCUCAGGACGAUUGGUAACCGUCCGUAGAGUGUAAUGGCAUAAGGGCGCUUGACUGGGAGACAGACAAGUCGAUCAGGUAGGAAACUAGAGCAUAGUGAUCCGGUGUUUCCGUAUGGAAGGGACAUCGCUCAAAGGAUAAAAGGUACUCCGGGGAUAACAGGCUGAUCCCUCCCAAGAGCUCAUAUCGACGGAGGGGUUUGGCACCUCGAUGUCGGCUCGUCACAUCCUGGGGCUGGAGAAGGUCCCAAGGGUUGGGCUGUUCGCCCAUUAAAGUGGCACGCGAGCUGGGUUCAGAACGUCGUGAGACAGUUCGGUCUCUAUCUAUCGUGGGCGUAUGAAAUUUGCGUGGCUCUGACACUAGUACGAGAGGACCGUGUUGGACUGACCGCUGGUUUACCAGUUGUGCCGCCAGGUGCAUUGCUGGGUAUCUAAGUCGGGAUUGGAUAAGUGCUGAAAGCAUCUAAGUACGAAGCCAGCCACAAGAUUAGAUUUCUUAGGGUCGUCAAAGACGAUGACGUUGAUAGGAUGCAGGUGUAAAGGUGGUAACAUCAAAGCCGAGCAUUACUAAUUGCCCGUUCACUUUCUUU
Molecule: ribosomal RNA, 2790 nt
Filed under: Bacteroides ovatus
Lineage: Bacteria; Pseudomonadati; Bacteroidota; Bacteroidia; Bacteroidales; Bacteroidaceae
Description: partial 23S ribosomal RNA
Rfam family: Bacterial large subunit ribosomal RNA
Source: RNAcentral